GUGAGGGGGCUGGGGCUCUCCGCAAGGAGGAAGUUCCGCCCACCCCACCGGGGCCGCGGUGCCGCAAGGCACCUCCCGAGAGGGAGGGCAACGGCGCAGAAACGACACGUCCCCUCAAAGAUGAGAAUGAAAGCGGUGAAGGGAGUUCGUGAGGGCUCCCGAGUUAACCCGCAGACGAUUUGAGGGGGAGCGGUGAAACGGCCGUCCCGCGGGGUGCAAGGCCGAGAAAGGGGCAAUGAGUUCCCGGUGUUAGCUCCGUGGUAGGCCGCUUAGUCGAAUGCCUUCUCAAUACAGAAGGCGGACUAUAGCCCCCUCAC
RNAcentral lists this RNase P RNA (317 nucleotides) under Thermococci archaeon. RNAcentral's name for it is "RNase P RNA component". It matches the Rfam family "Archaeal RNase P". From Rfam's summary of the family: Ribonuclease P (RNase P) is a ubiquitous endoribonuclease, found in archaea, bacteria and eukarya as well as chloroplasts and mitochondria. The record is from RNAcentral. Lineage: Archaea; Methanobacteriati; Methanobacteriota; Thermococci.